GCCUCUGUAGUUGGUUAGAGCGCUGUACCAGUAUUGCAGGGUCGCAGGUUCGAUUCCAGCCAGCAAGUUG
Non-coding RNA from Paramuricea clavata, 70 nucleotides. Lineage: Eukaryota; Metazoa; Cnidaria; Anthozoa; Malacalcyonacea; Plexauridae. The record is from the annotation of a GenBank genome assembly.